This 871-nucleotide ribosomal RNA is filed under the name Rhizocarpon geographicum. RNAcentral describes it as "partial large subunit ribosomal RNA". The stretch from base 1 to 343 matches the Rfam family "Bacterial large subunit ribosomal RNA", at positions 1004 to 1301 of the family's 2925-position model. Lineage: Eukaryota; Fungi; Ascomycota; Lecanoromycetes; Rhizocarpales; Rhizocarpaceae. The record is from RNAcentral.
GUGUAUGUCUAAAGGGAAACAGCCCAGAACAAGAGUUAAUAAGGUUCCAAAAUUAUUGUUAAGUGAAAAUAAGGUAGUGUUUAUCCAAGCCAACCAGGAAAUGGGCUUAGGAGCGGCCAUUUUUUAAAGACCUCGUAACAGAGCACUGGUUUUAUACAUUUUUGUAUGUAUUGUUAGAUGCACCUAAAAUUUAACGGAUCUAAAUAAUAUACCGAGACCUUGUCCAUAAAUAUUUUUAUGUACAAGUUACAUAGAAUAUAUAUGGGGUAGCGGAACAUUGGGCAUAUCUCAGAUUUUUUCUUUUUAAGACUUAAGAUUAGAUUACCCAAGUGAUAAUGCUGACAUGAGUAACGAUAAAGGGUUUAUACCCUCGCCUAAAGCUUAUGGAAUUUACUUAAAGUAACGGCCUCUAAGUUUAAGUCUGCUAACUUGUAAUAACUAGUAUCUUGUUGUUGAUACAAGUAAGUAAACAUCCUAAAGGUAUAAACGAUGAGAAAAUAAAAACUUAGUUUUACACAGAAAAUAUAAGCCAAUAAGGUAAACAAUUUUAGAUAGGUUUUAUCUCUAUAAGGUACUAGAUAACUUAGUUUUAUACUAAUAUCUAAUUAUAUAAUAUAGAUAUCAUAAAAAUAGCAUUUUGUAACAAACGGUGUUGAUGUAAUAUUGCUUAUCAUCAUCUUUUAGAUGAAGUGAAGUAAUUGUUAUAUAAAAAGCAAUCAAUAAGUUGUCAAAACAAAGUGAGAAAUGCUCUGGAAAAAUGCAAAACUUUGUCGUGAUUUAUAUCUGAGAUAGUUAUAUAUAAGGCGGAUCGUCCCUUGUAUAUGCCUAUUUAAGAGCAAUAACCGUACCUAAAAACUAACACAAGUAAGCA